GAUGAACGCUAGCGGCAGGCCUAAUACAUGCAAGUCGAACGAUACCAGAGAGCUUGCUUUCUGGGAAAGUGGCGCACGGGUGCGUAACGCGUAUGCAACCUACCUUAAUCAGGGGGAUAGCCUCUCGAAAGAGAGAUUAACACCGCAUAACAUCAUUUUACGGCAUCGUAGAAUGAUCAAAUAUUUAUAGGAUUAAGAUGGGCAUGCGUGACAUUAGCUAGUUGGUGAGGUAACGGCGCACCAAGGCUACGAUGUCUAGGGGAUCUGAAAGGAGAACCCACCACACUGGUACUGAGACACGGACCAGACUCCUACUGGAGGCAGCAGUAAGGAAUAUUGGUAAAUGGAGGCAACUCUGAACCAGCCAUGCCGCGUGCAGGAAGACGGCCCUAUGGGUUUUAAACUGCUUUUAUACGGGAAUAAACCUCUCUACGUGUAGGGAGUUGAAUGUACUGUAAGAAUAAGGAUCGGCUAACUCCGUGCCAGCCGCCGCAGUAA
RNAcentral lists this ribosomal RNA (498 nucleotides) under uncultured bacterium. Its description in RNAcentral is "partial 16S ribosomal RNA". It matches the Rfam family "Bacterial small subunit ribosomal RNA", at positions 28 to 523 of the family's 1533-position model. The record is from RNAcentral.